AUAUGGUCCAAUUGCCACAGCCAGAGUGGAUCUAGAAAAAAAGGAUUAACAUCUGAUACGUCCCCUAUCUGGGGACCAUAUAUUAAAUGGAUUUUUAGAACAGGGAGAUGGAAGAAGAGCUUGCUCUGUCCACUCCACGCAUUGACCUGGUAUUGCAGUACCUCCAGGACUGGUGCACCAAAA
This is a small nuclear RNA of Spea bombifrons (plains spadefoot toad), 183 nucleotides long. RefSeq annotates it as U2 spliceosomal RNA. Lineage: Eukaryota; Metazoa; Chordata; Amphibia; Anura; Pelobatidae. The transcript has a single exon. The record is from RefSeq and is a predicted model, not a curated record.